This is an RNA transcript of Poeciliopsis prolifica (blackstripe livebearer), 2463 nucleotides long. It is a transcript of the gene named CUE domain containing 1b, with no coding region annotated. Lineage: Eukaryota; Metazoa; Chordata; Actinopteri; Cyprinodontiformes; Poeciliidae. The transcript has 9 exons. The record is from RefSeq and is a predicted model, not a curated record.
AUAAGGAGAAGAAGAAAAAUAGAAGAACUGCUGUAACAGCUGAAAGGCUUCGUGCUUUAGUUUUAACAGUGGUGCUGGAAGUAAAGGAUUUAUCAUUUGCCAUCACAAGCAGACCCACUGAGGAGCUUCAGUCCGUCUCUCCUGGCUCAAUAAUCAGUGAUGACUCUCUUCUCUCCCAGUCCUUGAAAUCUGAAGCACAACUCACAACCUCCUUACAAGUACUAAGAUGGACAUUUAAUUUUAAAGAGCAAAAUGACCGUCACAGUCUUUUAGUGGAAACCGAUAAGGAAUGCUGGAAAAUCAUGGAAGAUUAAAUGCAACCAAUCAGUUUUCUUUUUCCUUGUAAAUUUGAUCUUUUAAAUCAUAAUUAAAUCAUUUUCUUUUCAAGCAACUUCCGCUUGGGGAUUGAUAAAGCGUAUUCUGAUUCCGAUUGGGUUGGCAGCACCUGAGACAGCCACUCUCAAAGGAUGACCAGCCUGUUCAGGCGGAGCAACAGCAACAAAGGCUCUGAAAGCAGUGGAGGCAGAGAUGGGGGCGGCACUACUAGCGGGCAGCUCAACAACAGCAGGCCGAACCGGCCAGUCAAGCACCUGGAGUUCAAUCAGGCCAUGGAAGACUUCAAGACCAUGUUUCCCUCCAUGGACUAUGAGGUGAUUGAGUGUGUUCUGCGUUCCAACAAAGGAGCUGUGGACGCCACUAUUGACCAGCUGCUUCAAAUGAGCAUUGAAGGACAACACUCAGAUGAUACCUCAGACUCAGAUGACAGCAUCCCAGCAGAGAUUCUGGAGCAGACCCAGGAACCCGACAGCUCAGAUGAAGAACCACCUCCAGUUUACUCUCCACCAAAAUCCAACAUCUACUCUGACUGGAAGCACCCAGAGACACACAAAGUGUCUCCUCCACAAUCAGAGACCCAUGUGGCAGCAGACGACCAGCAAGUUCGGAUCUACAGGAACUGGAACCCGCCGCUGCUCGGAAACCUUCCAGAGGACUUUUUGAGGAUUUGGCCUCGGCAAUCAAACAGUGUGAAGCAGUACUCACAAAGCAGUCCAUCUCAGCCCUCCUCAACCUCUUCGAUGUCUGUGUCCUCAACAAAUCAAAGGACAGCCCAGGCCGCUUCUGUGUUUGGAGCUACUUUGACUGCUGAGGGUCCUAAUAUGACAACGGGAUUACAAGAGAACACGUUGAUGCAGUAUUUGGAAGACGAGCGCAUAGCCCUGUUUCUGCAGAACGAGGAGUUUUUGAAAGAGCUGAAGCGUAACCAUGAGUUCCUCAUUGCCUUAGAGAGAGAUGGGUUGAAGUAUGGAAUAAAGUCCAGCCAUUUAUCAAGCCUGGACACUUCCACAGGGGAGAGAUACUCAGCAGAUUCGCAGGACCCUCCCUCAGAUGACGCACUAUUCAGAGACAAACUCAAGCACAUGGGUAAAUCAACAAGAAAGAAGCUCUUUGAAAUUGCCAGAACAUUUUCUGAAAGGACGAAAAGGAGAAAGUCUAAAAGAAAGACUCUAACACACUUAUAUCCUUCCUGUGACGUCACAUGGUCCUGAUAGAAAGUUGGUGGUUUUAUUCUGGGGUGGGAAUCUGAGAGAAAAUAGUCGACAUAGAUUUAUCAAAGUGUCACUGACAUGACAUGGGAGCGAUGCUUAAAUUGUUUGUUACAUCAGUCACUUAUAAUUAUUUUUUUAGAAAUAAAAUGCUGAUUGAAUGCAGGCCUGUUUUAAAAAUGUUUUUGAACUUAGCCCUGCGAUGAGCUAGCUGGAUGACUCCUUUACAGGAUGUGAUGUAAUGAGGGUAAUAUCCAGUGUGCCGCCAUGUUAGCAGGCUGUUUGUUUUUCUUAAUUAUUCCCGUGAACACAUAAGUUUGUUCUCCUUCCAAAAAGAUCUAAAUCUUCAAGAUCAAUGGAUGAACAGACGGCUCUGCCCUCUGUAGCGAUCAUUUCACUUCACACAAGAGUUUCAAACCUGUUAAAGAUAUAUAUAAAUAUUUAAAAAAUGAUCAUAAUACUGACAAUACUGAGGCAGUACUUGUUCGUAAACGCAGCGCCAACUUAUUAUCAUUGAAUAGUAAAAAUACGUUAUGCUACCACAUUGUCAUUAGUGAAAGGGAAACUUCAUAACGACCCAAAAGCGUUGCAUGCAGGCGAAAGGAUAAAUGAGGAGGAAACAACUCAGCAUGAGGCAGAGCAAGACGAACAGACACUGUAGGGAAAAUAAAACCGACGUCUGCAACAGAUACCAGGCGAAGACAGGCUGCGAGUUUUCAGUCAUUUUAUUGGCCUAAUUGCAAAUAGUUUCAGUUAAAUGUUAGUUUUGUUUCCUUGUUUUUUUUGUGUUUGUGUGUUUUUUUUUAACUAAACUUGUGUUCAGAUUGGGCACAGCCGACUCCACAGCAAAUCUCCUGGAAGAUAUCGAGGCAAACCCUAGCGAGGAAGAUGGUAAGCCAAGAAGAGGUAUCGUUCAGGA